RNAcentral lists this ribosomal RNA (999 nucleotides) under uncultured bacterium. Its description in RNAcentral is "bacterial SSU rRNA". It matches the Rfam family "Bacterial small subunit ribosomal RNA", at positions 26 to 999 of the family's 1533-position model. The record is from RNAcentral.
AGAAUGAACGCUAGCGGCGUGCUUAACACAUGCAAGUCGUACGAGAACUCUUUAGCUUGCUAAAGAUAGUAAAGUGGCGCACGGGUGAGUAACGCGUGGGUAAUCUACCUUUGAAUUUGGGAUAACUCCGCGAAAGCGGUGCUAAUACCGGAUAAUAUUUCAGAAUCUUCGGGUUUUGAAAUCAAAAGUGGUCUCUACAUGUAAGCUACUGUUUGGAGAUGAGCCCGCGUACCAUUAGCUUGUUGGUAGGGUAAUGGCCUACCAAGGCUACGAUGGUUAGCUGGUCUGAGAGGAUGAUCAGCCACACUGGAACUGACACACGGUCCAGACUCCUACGGGAGGCAGCAGUGGGGAAUUUUGCGCAAUGGGGGAAACCCUGACGCAGCAACGCCGCGUGAGUGAUGAAGGCUUUCGGGUCGUAAAGCUCUGUCAAGUGGGAAGAACAUGGAAAAUGUUAAUAUCAUUUUUUACUGACGGUACCACUAAAGGAAGCACCGGCUAACUCCGUGCCAGCAGCCGCGGUAAUACGGGGGGUGCAAGCGUUAUUCGGAAUUAUUGGGCGUAAAGGGCGCGUAGGCGGUCUUUUAAGUCAGAUGUGAAAGCCCGGGGCUUAACCCCGGAAGUGCAUUUGAAACUGAAGGACUUGAGUAUGGGAGAGGGAAGUGGAAUUCCUGGUGUAGAGGUGAAAUUCGUAGAUAUCAGGAGGAACACCGGUGGCGAGGGCGACUUCCUGGACCAAUACUGACGCUGANGCGCGAAGGCGUGGGGAGCAAACAGGAUUAGAUACCCUGGUAGUCCACGCAGUAAACGAUGAACACUANGUGUAGCGGGUAUUGACCCCUGCUGUGCCGCAGUUAACGCNNUAAGUGUUCCGCCUGGGGAGUACNACCGCAAGGUUAAACUCAAAGGAAUUGANGGGGGCCCGCACAGCGGNGGAGCAUGUGGUUUAAUUCGACGCAACGCGAANANCUUACCUGGAUUUGACNUCCCGGGNAGUCC